Molecule: ribosomal RNA, 497 nt
Filed under: uncultured bacterium
Lineage: Bacteria
Description: partial 16S ribosomal RNA
Rfam family: Bacterial small subunit ribosomal RNA
Source: RNAcentral
GAUGAACGCUGGCGGCGUGCCUAAUACAUGCAAGUCGAGCGAACGGACGAGAAGCUUGCUUCUCUGAUGUUAGCGGCGGACGGGUGAGUAACACGUGGCUAACCUACCUAUAAGACUGGGAUAACUUCGGGAAACCGGAGCUAAUACCGGAUGAUAUUUUGAACCGCAUGGUUCAAAAGUGAAAGACGGUCUUGCUGUCACUUAUAGAUGGAUCCGCGCUGCAUUAGCUAGUUGGUAAGGUAACGGCUUACCAAGGCAACGAUGCAUAGCCGACCUGAGAGGGUGAUCGGCCACACUGGAACUGAGACACGGUCCAGACUCCUACGGGAGGCAGCAGUAGGGAAUCUUCCGCAAUGGGCGAAAGCCUGACGGAGCAACGCCGCGUGAGUGAUGAAGGUCUUCGGAUCGUAAAACUCUGUUAUUAGGGAAGAACAUAUGUGUAAGUAACUGUGCACAUCUUGACGGUACCUAAUCAGAAAGCCACGGCUAACUACGUG